Molecule: unclassified non-coding RNA, 175 nt
Filed under: soil metagenome
Description: partial contains 5.8S ribosomal RNA, internal transcribed spacer 2, and large subunit ribosomal RNA
Source: RNAcentral
AACCUAGCACACCUGCGGUGUGUACCUGCGGAAGGAUCAUUACUGAAUGGCCAAAUGGCCUUCAACCUUCAAACCUGUGGAAGCAAAAUGUGCUUCGGCGCUCCGGCGUCGCAUUUAUGCAGAAUAGUUUAUGUCUGAAUCAAUACAAAACAUUAAAACUUUUAACAACGGAUCU